RNAcentral lists this transfer RNA (69 nucleotides) under Neotoma lepida (desert woodrat). It matches the Rfam family "tRNA". Rfam says of the family: Transfer RNA (tRNA) molecules are approximately 80 nucleotides in length. Their secondary structure includes four short double-helical elements and three loops (D, anti-codon, and T loops). Lineage: Eukaryota; Metazoa; Chordata; Mammalia; Rodentia; Cricetidae. The record is from Rfam by way of RNAcentral.
GGGGAUGUAGCUCAGUGGUAGAGCAUUUGCCUGUCAUGUGCAAAGACCCAGGUUUGAUACCCAUCACCU